UGAGGAAUAUUGGUCAAUGGGCGAGAGCCUGAACCAGCCAAGUAGCGUGCAGGAUGACGGCCCUAUGGGUUGUAAACUGCUUUUAUGUGGGGAUAAAGCGCGUGACGUGUCAUGCAUUGCAGGUACCACAUGAAUAAGGACCGGCUAAUUCCGUGCCAGCAGCCGCGGUAAUACGGAAGGUCCGGGCGUUAUCCGGAUUUAUUGGGUUUAAAGGGAGCGUAGGCUGUCUAUUAAGCGUGUUGUGAAAUAUACCGGCUCAACCGGUGGCUUGCAGCGCGAACUGGUCGACUUGAGUAUGCAGGAAGUAGGCGGAAUUCAUGGUGUAGCGGUGAAAUGCUUAGAUAUCAUGACGAACUCCGAUUGCGCAGGCAGCUUACUGUAGCAUAACUGACGCUGAUGCUCGAAAGUGCGGGUAUCAAACAGG
RNAcentral lists this ribosomal RNA (424 nucleotides) under Verrucomicrobiota bacterium. RNAcentral describes it as "Verrucomicrobia bacterium partial 16S ribosomal RNA". It matches the Rfam family "Bacterial small subunit ribosomal RNA", at positions 355 to 776 of the family's 1533-position model. Lineage: Bacteria; Pseudomonadati; Verrucomicrobiota. The record is from RNAcentral.